CAGCAGCCGCGGGAAAACAGAGGGUGCGAGCGUUAAUCGGAUUUACUGGGCGUAAAGCGUGCGUAGGCGGCUUCUUAAGUCGGAUGUGAAAUCCCUGAGCUUAACUUAGGAAUUGCAUUCGAUACUGGGAAGCUAGAGUAUGGGAGAGGAUGGUAGAAUUCCAGGUGUAGCGGUGAAAUGCGUAGAGAUCUGGAGGAAUACCGAUGGCGAAGGCAGCCAUCUGGCCUAAUACUGACGCUGAGGUACGAAAGCAUGGGGAGCAAACAGGAUUAGAUACCCGCGUAGUCCCUGUCUCUUAUAC
Molecule: ribosomal RNA, 301 nt
Filed under: uncultured bacterium
Lineage: Bacteria
Description: partial 16S ribosomal RNA
Rfam family: Bacterial small subunit ribosomal RNA
Source: RNAcentral